This 72-nucleotide transfer RNA is filed under the name Camelus bactrianus (Bactrian camel). It matches the Rfam family "tRNA". From Rfam's summary of the family: Transfer RNA (tRNA) molecules are approximately 80 nucleotides in length. Their secondary structure includes four short double-helical elements and three loops (D, anti-codon, and T loops). Further hydrogen bonds mediate the characteristic L-shaped molecular structure. tRNAs have two regions of fundamental functional importance: the anti-codon, which is responsible for specific mRNA codon recognition, and the 3' end, to which the tRNAs corresponding amino acid is attached (by aminoacyl-tRNA synthetases). tRNAs cope with the degeneracy of the genetic code in two manners: having more than one tRNA (with a specific anti-codon) for a particular amino acid; and 'wobble' base-pairing, i.e. permitting non-standard base-pairing at the 3rd anti-codon position. Lineage: Eukaryota; Metazoa; Chordata; Mammalia; Artiodactyla; Camelidae. RNAcentral also lists the same sequence under 3 other names. The record is from Rfam by way of RNAcentral.
GAGAGUAUAGCUCAGUGGUAGAGUGUGUGCUUAGCAUGCACAAAGUCCUGGGUUCAGUCCCCACUACCUCCA